AUUGAACGCUGGCGGCAGGCCUAACACAUGCAAGUCGAGCGGAUGGAGGGAGCUUGCUCCUGGAUUCAGCGGCGGACGGGUGAGUAAUGCCUAGGAAUCUGCCUGGUAGUUGGGGAUAACGUCCGGAAACGGGCGCUAAUACCGCAUACGUCCUGAGGGAGAAAGUGGGGGAUCUUCGGACCUCACGCUAUCAGAUGAGCCUAGGUCGGAUUAGCUAGUUGGUUGGGUAAAGGCCUACCAAGGCGACGAUCCGUAACUGGUCUGAGAGGAUGAUCAGUCACACUGGAACUGAGACACGGUCCAGACUCCUACGGGAGGCAGCAGUGGGGAAUAUUGGACAAUGGGCGAAAGCCUGAUCCAGCAAUGCCGCGUGUGUGAAGAAGGUCUUCGGAUUGUAAAGCACUUUAAGUUGGGAGGAAGGGCAGUAAGUUAAUACCUUGCUGUUUUGACGUUACCAACAGAAUAAGCACCGGCUAACUUCGUG
RNAcentral lists this ribosomal RNA (484 nucleotides) under uncultured bacterium. Its description in RNAcentral is "partial 16S ribosomal RNA". It matches the Rfam family "Bacterial small subunit ribosomal RNA", at positions 30 to 507 of the family's 1533-position model. The record is from RNAcentral.